RNAcentral lists this ribosomal RNA (1236 nucleotides) under metagenome. RNAcentral describes it as "bacterial LSU rRNA". It matches the Rfam family "Bacterial large subunit ribosomal RNA", at positions 1564 to 2808 of the family's 2925-position model. The record is from RNAcentral.
UGAGUACGAGAUGCUACGGCAUCGAAGCAGUCUAUGUCAUACUUCCAAGAAAAGCUUGCAAUGUCAUAAACAAAUAAUGCCUGUACCAUAACCGACACAGGUGGGUAGGUAGAGUAUACUAAGGGGCGCGAGAUAACUCUCUCUAAGGAACUCGGCAAAAUGACUCCGUAACUUCGGGAGAAGGAGUGCCUUAUUUUUAUAAGGUUGCAAUAACAAGAUCCAAGCAACUGUUUACCAAAAACACAGGUCUCCGCUAAGUCGUAAGACGAUGUAUGGGGGCUGACGCCUGCCCAGUGCCAGAAGGUUAAAGAAGUUGGUUAGCAUUAGCGAAGCUGAUAGCUGAAGCCCUGGUGAACGGCGGCCGUAACAAUAACGGUCCUAAGGUAGCGAAAUUCCUUGUCGGGUAAGUUCCGACCCGCACGAAAGGCGUAAUGAUUUGGAUACUGUCUCGGAGAGGGGCUCGGUGAAAUAGACUUGUCUGUGAAGAUGCGGACUACCUGCACCUGGACAGAAAGACCCUAUGAAGCUUUACUGUAACUUGAGAUUGAAAUUGGACUUUAUCUGCGCAGUAUAGGUGGGAGACGUUGAAAAUAUUCUUGCGGGAAUAUUGGAGUCAUCAGUGAGAUACCACUCUUAUAAUGUUAGAUUUCUAACUUUGUAUCAUUAUCUGGUCAAAGAACAGUUUCAGGCGGGCAGUUUGACUGGGGCGGUCGCCUCCCAAACGGUAACGGAGGCGCACAAAGGUUUCCUCUGUACGUGUAGAAAUCGUAUCUAGAGUGUAAAGGCAUAAGGAAGCUUGACUGUGAGACCUACAAGUCGAGCAGGGACGAAAGUCGGUCUUAGUGAUCUGACGGUGCUGAGUGGAAAGGCCGUCACUCAACGGAUAAAAGUUACUCUAGGAUAACAGGCUGAUCUCCCCCAAGAGUUCACAUCGACGGGGAGGUUUGGCACCUCGAUGUCGGCUCAUCGCAUCCUGGGGCGGUAGUACGUCCCAAGGGUUGGGCUGUUCGCCCAUGAGAGCGGUACGCGAGCUGGGUUCAGAACGUCGUGAGACAGUUCGGUCCAUAUCCGGUGUAGGCGUUAGAAUAUUGAGAGGAGCCUUCUUUAGUACGAGAGGACCGAGAAGGACAUACCUCUGGUGUACCAGUUAUCGUGCCAACGGUAAACGCUGGGUAGCCAUGUAUGGAGAGGAUAACCGCUGAAAGCAUCUAAGUGGGAAGCCCACCUCAAGAUAAG